This 237-nucleotide unclassified non-coding RNA is filed under the name Hevea brasiliensis (rubber tree). The record is from RNAcentral. Lineage: Eukaryota; Viridiplantae; Streptophyta; Magnoliopsida; Malpighiales; Euphorbiaceae.
UUUGGAGAUUCUCGAGAAGUCAUGUGGAUUCCAGCGUCUUCUUGUCGUUGUCGUUGUUGCUGUUCUUCAUAUGAUUUCGUAUUUUGAAAUUGCUGAUUGUUUUCUGAGCUUUCAGUUUCUUUUUGCUGUUGUUGUUGUUGAUCUGCAUUUAAUUCUCGGUUCUGCGAAUCCUGUGAAUUCUUCCCUGUAUCAGCGUUUUCUUGUUGUUCCUGCUGUUGAUCUUCAUUUUGUUUUUGA